CUACCUGACCUAGCGGCGGACGGGUGAGUAAUGCUUAGGAAUCUGCCUAUUAGUGGGGGACAACAUCUCGAAAGGGAUGCUAAUACCGCAUACGUCCUACGGGAGAAAGCAGGGGACCUUCGGGCCUUGCGCUAAUAGAUGAGCCUAAGUCGGAUUAGCUAGUUGGUGGGGUAAAGGCCUACCAAGGCGACGAUCUGUAGCGGGUCUGAGAGGAUGAUCCGCCACACUGGGACUGAGACACGGCCCAGACUCCUACGGGAGGCAGCAGUGGGGAAUAUUGGACAAUGGGGGGAACCCUGAUCCAGCCAUGCCGCGUGUGUGAAGAAGGCCUUUUGGUUGUAAAGCACUUUAAGCGAGGAGGAGGCUACCGAGAUUAAUACUUUUGGAUAGCGGACGUUACUCGCAGAAUAAGCACCGGCUAACUCUGUGCCAGCAGCCGCGGUAAUACAGAGGGUGCAAGCGUUAAUCGGAUUUACUGGGCGUAAAGCGCGCGUAGGUGGCCAAUUAAGUCAAAUGUGAAAUCCCCGAGCUUAACUUGGGAAUUGCAUUCGAUACUGGUUGGCUAGAGUAUGGGAGAGGAUGGUAGAAUUCCAGGUGUAGCGGUGAAAUGCGUAGAGAUCUGGAGGAAUACCGAUGGCGAAGGCAGCCAUCUGGCCUAAUACUGACACUGAGGUGCGAAAGCAUGGGGAGCAAACAGAAUUAGAUACCCUGGUAGUCCACGCCGUAAACGAUGUCGACUAGCCGUUGGGAUCCUUGAGAUCUUAGUGGCGCAGCUAACGCAUUAAGUCGACCGCCUGGGGG
RNAcentral lists this ribosomal RNA (801 nucleotides) under uncultured bacterium. Its description in RNAcentral is "bacterial SSU rRNA". It matches the Rfam family "Bacterial small subunit ribosomal RNA", at positions 83 to 879 of the family's 1533-position model. The record is from RNAcentral.